GCGCGAAAACUUUACAAUGCUGGCAACAGCGAUAAGGGAACCUCGAGUGCCAGGUUACAAAUCUGGCUGUCGAGAUGCCUAAAAAGCAUUUCAUAGCAAGGGCCGGGCAAGACCGGUGCCAGCCGCCGCGGUAACACCGGCGGCUCGAGUGGUAACCGUGAUUAUUGGGUCUAAAUGGUCUGUAGCCGGCCGGAUAAGUCUCUUGAGAAAUCUGGCAGCUUAACUGUCAGGCUUUCAGGGGAUACUGGCUGGCUCGAGGCCGGGAGAGGUGAGAGGUACUUCAGGGGUAGGGGUGAAAUCUUGUAAUCCUUGAAGGACCACCAGUGGCGAAGGCGUCUCACCAGAACGGACCUGACGGCAAGGGACGAAAGCUAGGGGCACGAACC
Molecule: ribosomal RNA, 386 nt
Filed under: uncultured prokaryote
Description: bacterial SSU rRNA
Rfam family: Archaeal small subunit ribosomal RNA
Source: RNAcentral